CCUACGGGCCGCACCAGUGGGGAAUAUUGGACAAUGGGCGAAAGCCUGAUCCAGCCAUGCCGCGUGAGUGAAGAAGGCCUUAGGGUUGUAAAGCUCUUUCACCGGUGAAGAUAAUGACGGUAACCNGAGAAGAAGCCCCGGCUAACUUCGUGCCAGCAGCCGCGGUAAUACGAAGGGGGCUAGCGUUGUUCGGAAUUACUGGGCGUAAAGCGCGCGUAGGCGGAUAGAUAAGUCAGAGGUGAAAUCCCGGGGCUCAACCCCGGAAUUCCCUUUGGUACUGUUUAUCUUGAGUGCAGAAGAGGUAAGUGGAAUUCCAAGUGUAGAGGUGAAUUUCGUAGAUAUUCGGAGGAACACCAGUGGCGAAGGCGGCUUACUGGUCUGCAACUGACGCUGAGGCGCGAAAGCGUGGGGAGCAAACAGGAUUAGAUACCCGUGUAGUC
RNAcentral lists this ribosomal RNA (440 nucleotides) under uncultured bacterium. RNAcentral describes it as "bacterial SSU rRNA". It matches the Rfam family "Bacterial small subunit ribosomal RNA", at positions 338 to 795 of the family's 1533-position model. The record is from RNAcentral.